UACGUAGGGUGCGAGCGUUGUCCGGAAUUAUUAGGCGUAAAGAGCUCGUAGGCGGUUUGUCGCGUCGGCCGUGAAAACUUGGGGCUUAACCCCAAGCCUGCGGUCGAUACGGGCAGACUUGAGUUCGGCAGGGGAGACUGGAAUUCCUGGUGUAGCGGUGAAAUGCGCAGAUAUCAGGAGGAACACCGGUGGCGAAGGCGGGUCUCUGGGCCGAUACUGACGCUGAGGAGCGAAAGCGUGGGGAGCGAACAGG
Molecule: ribosomal RNA, 253 nt
Filed under: uncultured bacterium
Lineage: Bacteria
Description: partial 16S ribosomal RNA
Rfam family: Bacterial small subunit ribosomal RNA
Source: RNAcentral